RNAcentral lists this ribosomal RNA (892 nucleotides) under uncultured bacterium. RNAcentral describes it as "bacterial SSU rRNA". It matches the Rfam family "Bacterial small subunit ribosomal RNA", at positions 554 to 1439 of the family's 1533-position model. The record is from RNAcentral.
CUGGGCUUAAGCGUGUGUAGGCGGACUUGUAAGUACCUUGUGAAAUCCCACGGCUCAACCGUGGAACUGCUUGGUAUACUGCUUGUCUUGGGCCAUCUAGGGGUUACCGGAACAAACGGUGGAGCGGUGAAAUGCGUAGAUAUCGUUUGGAACGCCAAUGGUGAAAACAGGUAACUGGGGAUGUGCCGACGCUGAGACACGAAAGCCAGGGGAGCGAACGGGAUUAGAUACCCCGGUAGUCCUGGCUGUAAACGAUGUCGACUAGAUCGCAGUGGCUCUGACGCUAUUGCGGUCGAAGCAAAAGUGCUAAGUCGACCGCCUGGGAAGUACGGUCGCAAGGCUAAAACUCAAAGAAAUUGACGGGGGCUCACACAAGCGGUGGAGCAUGUGGUUCAAUUCGAAGCAACGCGCAGAACCUUACCUGGGCUUGACAUGCUAGGAUUAUCCCUGUGAAAGCAGGGUAGGCCCUUCGGGGUACAACUAGUACAGGUGCUGCAUGGCUGUCGUCAGCUCGUGUCGUGAGAUGUCGGGUUAAGUCCCUUAACGAGCGAAACCUUUGCCCUUAGUUACUAACGGGUUAUGCCGAGGACUCUAAGGGGACUGCCGGUGUCAAACCGGAGGAAGGUGGAGAUGACGUCAAGUCCUCAUGGCCUUUAUGCCCAGGGCCACACACGUGCUACAAUGGCGUCCACAAAGCGAACCGAGAGCGCAAGCUGGAGGAAAUCGCACAAAUGACGCCCCAGUUCAGAUCGGAGGCUGCAACUCGCCUCCGUGAAGUUGGAAUCGCUAGUAAUCGCGGAUCAGCUACGCCGCGGUGAAUGUGUUCCUGAGCCUUGUACACACCGCCCGUCAAGUCAUGGGAGCCGGAAAUAGCCGAAGUAGCCUCACCACU